AUGGCUCAGAUUGAACGCUGGCGGCAGGCCUAACACAUGCAAGUCGAGCGGCAGUGGAAGGAAGCUUGCUUCCUUGCCGGCGAGCGGCGGACGGGUGAGUAAGGUAUGGGGAUCUGGCCGAAGGCGGGGGAUAACCACUGGAAACGGUGGCUAAUACCGCAUAAUCUCUAAGGAGCAAAGUGGGGGACCGUUCAGGCCUCACACCUUCGGAUGAACCCAUAUGAGAUUAGCUAGUAGGUGGGGUAAUGGCUCACCUAGGCGACGAUCUCUAGCUGGUCUGAGAGGAUGAUCAGCCACACUGGGACUGAGACACGGCCCAGACUCCUACGGGAGGCAGCAGUGGGGAAUAUUGCACAAUGGGCGCAAGCCUGAUUCAGCCAUGCCGCGUGUAUGAAGAAGGCCUUCGGGUUGUAAAGUACUUUCAGUCGUGAGGAAGGUGUUAAGGUUAAUAACCUUAGCAAUUGACGUUAGCGACAGAAGAAGCACCGGCUAACUCCGUGCCAGCAGCCGCGGUAAUACGGAGAGUGCGAGCGUUAAUCGGAAUUACUGGGCGUAAAGGGCACGCAGGCGGUUAAUUAAGAUGGAUG
Molecule: ribosomal RNA, 587 nt
Filed under: Arsenophonus endosymbiont of Aphis citricidus
Lineage: Bacteria; Pseudomonadati; Pseudomonadota; Gammaproteobacteria; Enterobacterales; Morganellaceae
Description: bacterial SSU rRNA
Rfam family: Bacterial small subunit ribosomal RNA
Source: RNAcentral